Molecule: long non-coding RNA, 2450 nt
Organism: Oryzias melastigma (Indian medaka)
Lineage: Eukaryota; Metazoa; Chordata; Actinopteri; Beloniformes; Adrianichthyidae
Exons: 3
Source: RefSeq, a predicted model, not a curated record
GGAGACAUGGAUGAAUAGAUGGUUGAUAAGAAAAUGGAGAUGAAAAUGGUUCUAGCUCCUCCUUUAGCUUGAAUAAUAUAUAUAUGCUGAUGUAUAACCUAGAAUUUAACUUAUGCUUCUUUCCAUAGUGAUAGGGCAGCUAAAAAUGGACAAAUUCUUUCUCAAAAGGAAAACUAAAAAGAACAUUGCUCUACAAUGUAAGUUUUGAAUCAAAGAUUCUCUGUGAAAUAAUGUUUUUUCUGGCUGGCUGGCUGACCCUGGCGAUCCCAAUCGAUUUAUCACACCGAUGGAAAGAACCCGCCUACGACCUGGAUAUGAAGUUACUGAAACUGGGAAUUAAAUGACCCUUUCCCAUUGGACUUUCUGACCACGGACAGCGAUGACCUCUGUGGACUGAUAGCCACUGAUGGACUCUGUGUGAAAUGAUCUGAUAAUAGGAUAACGAGUCAAAGUACAAUCAUAGUUCAGCUGGAGCUGGUCACUCGAUCCACGGUGUCAGGUUGUGCGAGCUUGUGUGUCUUUUCUAAAACUUGCAAUUCUCCCACAGCACAAAAAACAAGCAAGUUUUAUUGUAGAUAGAAGAUUCUAACCUGUGGCAGAACAGAAAGCUCUGCUCCCGGUUUGAAUGGUGCUUUCAUGUUGAGUCUCAGGUGUUUGAUUCUAUCUCAACUUGACUGUAGCUGAUGCUAUUAAUUUUCUUUCUGUGCGUUCUGCUGAAUAUGCGACCUUGCUGUCUUGGAAUGUGUCCUGUUGCAGACGGAGGGCAGGUGGUUAUUCAUAUGACAACACACACGUGUAAGCAAACACGGCAAAAGAAAAGGAGAGAAAGAAGGAGGCAGACAUUUCUUUCAGCCAGUUCUCUGUGUCAGCCGUGUAAGAAAGCCGCCAAACCAAUAAUUUUGUCAAGUUCUUUUUUUAGCGGAGCGGCUGAAUCGUCUUUGGAUUGCCACAUGUAUAAAGGCAGCCCAUAUAAAGCCAUUCACAGCACUGAAUGAACACGCCAUCUGUGGGGCUUUCUUAUUUCCUCUUCUCUUUUCUUCUCCUUCUUUUUCAAGCCUUGUAAUCAAAUUUGAGCAAAAUCAAAUGGCGGGAGGAUAGAAUGAGAGCAAUGGGGGGGAGGAGGGUUCAAUGAAAGUACCUUUUGUUGGUCUGAAACGAGCAAGUAAUUUACAAAAUGCCCUCCUUUUGUGCAGGGGGCUAAGGGAAGAAAGAAAUCAGUAGCUUUUAGAAGCUAGGCCUUGCGCUGCGACGGGCAAGAUAAUGAAAGCCGUCUUGUGUUUGUGGGCUAGAGAGCAUCUCAAAGGCAGACCGGGCCCCGGCUCAGGGUUAGCUUGGCUGCUGUAAAAAAAAGAAAAAAAAAAAAGAAAAAAAAAAACACAAGACGCUCUUCUUUAUGUGUGUGUGUUUGUGUUUGGCAAGAAACAGGACUGCUGUGCCCGGUUACUCUUGGCAGAGACACUCUGAGGAUCAGACGAAGUUGUCAAUGCUGAAAAGAGGAACGAGGAAGGCUGCUGAUUCCUUACUUACCUGUUGUCGCCUGCAGGUGCGUGCGGCUGGCCCUGCACAGGUAGGCAGCAAUGCUCCUCUGUUGAGAAGUCUGGGCUGAAGCGGAGACGAGGAAGAAGGAAUAAAAGCAUCCAGCUGGGAUCAUUGUCCCGAAGGAUUAUCAAGUACAGAGGAUUGCGGCUGACUGCCUUCAUUCGUUACUUCCACGGAGUUAGCUGAGGAGAGACCUGCUGCAAGAUUACCACCUGAGCAGCACCUGGGAACGUUCGCUCAUGAAUUCUAACAGAGGUUCCUGUUUACUUUGAACAAAGUGGUACCUGGCAUGUCCUGCAGCACAGAGUCGGUAAAGACCCAUAAGAGGAGAAUCAAGUCUAGAGGAUGGAUAGAUGGAUUAUAGAUCGUUUGUCUGUGUGCACCUAACGCCUGAUGAGCCUCGCUGUGCACUUGCAUGUGUCCAUCAAACACCACUUGAUUACUGGCUGUGUAUUUAUCAUCAUCAUCGUCAUCAUCAUUAUCAUUAUCAACCGUCUCCCCUCUCUUAAGUCUGAGACAAUGGACUCUCCUUAGAGGCUCUUAUUGAGCUGGAGCUCAGUAGUCUUCACAGUCUCAGCCCAGUUCUAGUCCUCUUCAGCAGCCUGGAGUGUGGCUAGGUAAUUACCCGAGGAUUGAUUCCCCUAACAGAGACCAUUUCUUCACCUCCUGCAGAAUCACUAAGAGGCUUAUAAUAAGCCCUGCACACCUCCAUGGCUUCCUAGCUAAUGUCUUGGCAAGCUAGAGCCUCUAUUGACUUGUUGAUAGAGACUCUGGAGCAGUACCAGAGGCGGCAGAGCGAGGAGAGGGAACUCUUCACUCGAGAGACUUGAUUAUUAAAAUGCCACCAAGUUCUGUGUCACCACACCUUAGAUACAAUAUGCAUGGAGAUGGAGAUGUCUCCAAGAUGUCAA